GACGAACGCUGGCGGCGUGCCUAACACAUGCAAGUGGAGCGACGAACCAGACUUCGGUCUGGGGCCAAGCCGCGAACGGGUGAGUAACACGUGGGUAACCUGCCCCGAUGAUCGGGACAACCCGGGGAAACCCGGGCUAAUACCGAAUGUGGUCGCGGUCCGUGAGGACUGUGACGAAAGGAAGCUUCGGCCUCCGCAUCGGGAUGGGCCCGCGGCCCAUUAGCUUGUUGGUGGGGUAAUGGCCUACCAAGGCAUCGAUGGGUAGCUGGUCUGAGAGGACGAUCAGCCACACUGGGACUGAGACACGGCCCAGACUCCUACGGGAGGCAGCAGUGGGGAAUCUUGCGCAAUGCGCGAAAGCGUGACGCAGCAACGCCGCGUGGGGGAAGAAGGCUUUCGGGUCGUAAACCCCUUUCAGUUGGGACGAAGCUUCGCCGGUGAAUAGCCGGCCGGAGUGACGGUACCUUCACAAGAAGCCCCGGCUAACUACGUGCCAGCAGCCGCGGUAAUGCACGA
RNAcentral lists this ribosomal RNA (516 nucleotides) under uncultured bacterium. Its description in RNAcentral is "bacterial SSU rRNA". It matches the Rfam family "Bacterial small subunit ribosomal RNA", at positions 28 to 528 of the family's 1533-position model. The record is from RNAcentral.